RNAcentral lists this ribosomal RNA (492 nucleotides) under uncultured bacterium. RNAcentral describes it as "bacterial SSU rRNA". It matches the Rfam family "Bacterial small subunit ribosomal RNA", at positions 28 to 507 of the family's 1533-position model. The record is from RNAcentral.
GAUGAACGCUAGCUACAGGCUUAACACAUGCAAGUCGAGGGGAAACGACAUCGAAAGCUUGCUUUUGAUGGGCGUCGACCGGCGCACGGGUGAGUAACGCGUAUCCAACCUGCCCACCACUUGGGGAUAACCUUGCGAAAGUAAGACUAAUACCCAAUGACGUCUCUAGAAGACAUCUGAAAGGGAUUAAAGAUUUAUCGGUGAUGGAUGGGGAUGCGUCUGAUUAGCUUGUUGGCGGGGUAACGGCCCACCAAGGCAACGAUCAGUAGGGGUUCUGAGAGGAAGGUCCCCCACAUUGGAGCUGAGACACGGUCCAAACUCCUACGGGAGGCAGCAGUGAGGAAUAUUGGUCAAUGGGCGAGAGCCUGAACCAGCCAAGUAGCGUGCGGGACGACGGCCCUAUGGGUUGUAAACCGCUUUUGAUUGGGAACAAAGAGCGCCACGUGUGGUGCGUUGCGUGUACCUUUCGAAUAAGCAUCGGCUAAUUCCGUG